UGUAGCUUGACAUUGGGUCUUGGUACUACAUGUACAGGAUAGGUGGGAGGCUUUGAAACCAGGACGCCAGUUUUGGCGGAGCCAUCCUUGGGAUACCACCCUUGUAGUACUGGGACUCUAACCAUAGGCCAUGAAGCUGGUCUUGGGACACUGUCAGGUGGGCAGUUUGACUGGGGCGGUCGCCUCCCAAAAGGUAACGGAGGCGCUCAAAGGUUCUCUCAGUACGGUCGGAAAUCGUACGUAGAGGGUAAAGGCAAAAGAGAGCUUGAUUGCAAGACAUACAGGUCGAGCAAGGAUGAAAAUCGGACUUAGUGAUCCGGUGGUUCUGCGUGGAAGGGCCAUCGCUCAACGGAUAAAAGCUACCCUGGGGAUAA
RNAcentral lists this ribosomal RNA (374 nucleotides) under Clostridioides difficile. RNAcentral describes it as "bacterial LSU rRNA". It matches the Rfam family "Bacterial large subunit ribosomal RNA", at positions 2105 to 2477 of the family's 2925-position model. Lineage: Bacteria; Bacillati; Bacillota; Clostridia; Peptostreptococcales; Peptostreptococcaceae. The record is from RNAcentral.